Molecule: ribosomal RNA, 397 nt
Filed under: uncultured bacterium
Lineage: Bacteria
Description: partial 16S ribosomal RNA
Rfam family: Bacterial small subunit ribosomal RNA
Source: RNAcentral
AUACGUAGGUGGCAAGCGUUGUCCGGAUUUAUUGGGCGUAAAGCGAGCGCAGGCGGUUUCUUAAGUCUGAUGUGAAAGCCCCCGGCUCAACCGGGGAGGGUCAUUGGAAACUGGGAGACUUGAGUGCAGAAGAGGAGAGUGGAAUUCCAUGUGUAGCGGUGAAAUGCGUAGAUAUAUGGAGGAACACCAGUGGCGAAGGCGGCUCUCUGGUCUGUAACUGACGCUGAGGCUCGAAAGCGUGGGGAGCAAACAGGAUUAGAUACCCUGGUAGUCCACGCCGUAAACGAUGAGUGCUAAGUGUUGGAGGGUUUCCGCCCUUCAGUGCUGCAGCUAACGCAUUAAGCACUCCGCCUGGGGAGUACGACCGCAAGGUUGAAACUCAAAUGAAUUGACGGGG